AUGGACGGCAAGACGGAGAUGCUUCUUCCGCGCCCUGUGACCGUGGCCAAGAAGAAGAUCCCAGGUUCUGUUUGGCUGGUCUGCGGAUGGGCGCUCCUCAGCGCCUGCGCCAUCGCCUUGGGCCACUACGAUCUCCCCUGCAGACAGGCCACGUUCGUUCUGCGUUGCGGGUGCGUUGAGCUGACGGACACCAAGGCCGCCUGCUUGAGCGCCCUCUGGAUCGGGGCCCUGCUCUGCACCGCGUCCCAGGCAGCCGCGGCGGCGCUGGCGCUGCUGCUCCCACGCCUCCACCCCGAGCUGCUCUCGCUCUCGCUCUGGCUCGCUGCCACCGGCCACUGCAUGGCCAGCGGCGCCGUUUUCAUCCUCUGCUUCGCCGAGCCAUGCCCAGGAUGCUGCUUCCACAGCACACUCUUCGUCCUGGCCCUGUGCUUGUUGGAGUUGGGCGACGUCGUCGGCUCCAUGGCUCUCGUCGUGGGAGCGGUGAGGAGUAGGGCACACACCAUGUAG
RNAcentral lists this ribosomal RNA (507 nucleotides) under Triticum aestivum (bread wheat). RNAcentral describes it as "partial small subunit ribosomal RNA". Lineage: Eukaryota; Viridiplantae; Streptophyta; Magnoliopsida; Poales; Poaceae. The record is from RNAcentral.